AAACACACAACGCCCACUACGGCCCAGGAGAUCCCACUUCCGCCGCGAGCUCCCGGCGCCGGAAGUCCUCGCGGGGCUCGCUGGGAAACUACGCCACGCAAGCAUUCCCCAGCUCCCAGAAAGCCGUUCGUCCACUGAGCCCGCCUUCUCCAUGACCGAUGGCCAAUGAACAGGAAGAAUUCUCAGGCUGCCUAUUAGAAGACAGAAACUCCAUACGCGUCAUACACCUGCACCCGGGAGGAAAGGCGAGGCUCUGCAUCUAGAUUUACCUCGUUCUCUUUUGUCUCCGCUUUUUUUUCACAUUUCCUUGCGCCCCUGGCCCUUGAGCGACAAAAAGGGGAAGCCAAGGCUGGCCCGAGGAACGGAGAGGGCACAUGGCCUAGCCACGAGUGGAGCUUCUGCUCCGCCCGAAGGGAUGCGCUGGAGCGGCCUCUUCCUUCUGCCACGGUCUUUCUUUGCCAACUAGUAGGUGAGGGCCGAAAGGCCGCGGGCCGUGGAGCUCGGGCCGGGGAGACUCUUUUCCAGCCUCUUGGAUCCCGCUCCUCCCAAUUCCUUGGAGAGGCGUCGAGCUUGCUGGGAAGUGCCCUCGGGUAAGGGGCGCGGAGCCUCCUGCGGCGAUCCUCUGUCUUCGGGUCGCCUUAGGACGCGGCAAGCGGGACACUGACCUGGCCGGAGUCCCGCGUUCUCUCACCAGCUGCUUUGUCCACGAGUUGCUGCUGGGCGUCAGGGGUCCCACGGCCCGGAGGGAUCUAGAGCAGGGGGGCUCGGGGUCCUUUCCAUACCCUCGGAUCCUCUCCCACUCUCUCCACGCCUCGACCCGGAGAUGAUUUCAGGCUCCAGAUCUCUUUCAUAAAUGGAAAGAGUUUUCUUGGUUUGUUUUGUCUUAAUUAUGUAGGCGUUGCAUGCUUGGAAGAGAAAAUUUAGAAAAUUAAUUGGAAAACCAUAAAGAUAGCUUUCUCGUGAUAGCCACAGGGCUUGCUCCCUCAUUCUGCUCAUAUGUCACCCCCUCAAGGAGGCCUUCCCCAGCUCUGUAAACAACCUGUGCUCGGCCUUAACUUUUCUCCCUAAUGUUUAUCACUACCUGACAUAUACGUGUUUCCCACGACUCAACGAUAAGUGUUCAUGAGGGCAGACACUUUUUAAUGCCCUAUGACAAGCACCUAGAAUUGUGCCUGGCACAUGGUAGAUGCUUAGUAAAUAUUUGUUUAAUGAAUGAAGGUAAAAAACAUUUCUAAUACGACCAUCCAGGAAUAAGUACUAUUCAUGUUUUAGUCUGUUCUUACAGUUUUACUGUUCAGACAGUUGUAUGCCUGUGAAUAUAUAUGUAUUAUAUAUAUGUAUAUAUUUUUUUAUUUUUAUUUUUAUUUUUUUGAGACAGAGUCUCGCUCUGUCACCCAGGCUGGACUGCAGUGGCGCGAUCUUGGCUCACUGCAACCUCCGCCUCCUGGAUUCAAGCGAUUCUCCUGCCUCAGCCUCCCGAGUAGCUAGGAUUACAGGCAUGUGUCACCACGCCCGGCUAAUUUUGUAUUUUUAGUAGAGACGGGGUUUCUCCGUGUUGGUCAGGCUGGUCUCGAACUCCUGACCUCAGGUGAUCUGCCCGCCUCGGCCUCCCAAAGUGCUGAGAUUACAGACGUGAGCCACCGUGCCUGGCGGAAUUUUCAUAUUUUAAGUCCCCCACCCUUGGACAUUUAGAUUUUUUCCAUCUUUCUGUAUUUUGCAGAUAUGCUUCUACAUACACCUUUAUUCAUUUGCUUGAACAUUUCCCUGAGAAAAACUAGAAAUGGAAUUGCCAGAUUACUUUGUGUACAUAUUUCCAAACUGUCCUCCAGAAAGAAUGUAAUGCUUUGAACUUCCACUUGAGAAUCAAAUGUUUACCUUCCUCUGUUCCUCCAGAUUUGGACAUUUACAGUGUUCAGCCGUUGUUGUGGCAUUCCAAUUCAAUUGGGAAACAGCUUGAUGUAGCGUCCCCAUAAGGUCCACAGUAAUUAAUUUUUUUUUUUUUUUUUUUGGUUCAGUGGUGCAAUUUCAUGGCUCACUGCAACCUCCACCUCCCAGGUUCAAGCGAUCCUCCCAUCUCAGCCUCCCUAGUAGCUGGGAUUACAGGUGCACACCACCACACCAGGCUAAUUUUUGUAUUUUUAGUAGAGAUGGGGUUUCACCAGGUUAGCCAGGCUGGUCUUGAACUCCUGACCUCAAGGGAUCCGCCUGCCUCAGCUUUCCAAAGUGCUGGGAUUACAGGUGAGAACCACUGCACCCAUCCUAUUAAACUUUUAAAUCUUGAUAGUUACCAUGUAUAGAGUGUUUAUAUGCCAGGCAUUGAGCUAAGUCUUUUACGUCUCGCGCUCAUUCUGUGCAACAGCCCAAUGGGAGAAAUUCCAUGAAUAUAGUUACCAUUUCCUUGAUUUCUAGAGAAGCUGGAUAUGUUUUCUUUUUUUCCAGUAUUAUUUCUAUUUAUCCUUUUGUGAAUUGUCUGUUGUUAUUUUCAUUGGAAUAUUCUCUUUUUUUGACAGAGUCUCACUCUGUUGCCCAGGCUGGAGUGCAAUGGCACAAUCUCGGCUCAUUGCAAACCUCUGCCUCCUGGGUUCAAGCAAUUCUCCUGCCUCAGCCUCCCAAGUAGCUGGGAUUACAGGCACCCGCCACCACGCCCAGCUGAUUUUUUGUAUUUUUAGUAGAGACGGGGUUUUGCCAUGUUGGCCAGGCUGGUCUCGAACUCCUGACCUCAGGUGAUCCACCCAUUUUGGCCUCCCAAAGUACUGGGAUUACAGGCGUGAGCACCCGUGCCCGGCCACACCAUUAUUUUGAAGAGAAAAUUUGAUAAAAAUAAUUGGUCAGUGGUAAAAAUGGUUAACUACCCAACUGGUAAGAGAGAUUUCUAAGAGUUACAGAAUAGCAACUGCAGGAAGGAACUUGUGCCCUUAGGACUGAGGAAGUAAAAAGGAAGGAAACUUGGAAACACGGAAGAGCCCUUCCCCUUUCAAUUCAAGGUGGAGACUGGACCUCAGAAGAGGGAGUGGGUGCCCCGAGAACUCACAGCUAGUGGACAGCGGAAAGGGCAGGAGCCAGACCAAGGUGAGGACAGCGGAACUGAAGGCCGCUGGUUACCUCUCCUGCCCUCUGCUGGCCACAGUGGAGAAGACAGCCCCUCCCUCCUGCUCUGACCUGACAGUGUUCAUCCAUCGCCCUGUAUUAGCGAAGAACAACAUCAAGCUGGCUAGCAAGGAACUGUAUACAGGGUCCAGCUGGGUAUCACACUGGAUCUCACCCAAAGCUGAGAUGUGAUCCAGCUCCGUAUCACAAAGCAGAACGAAAAGGAUGUGUUUGGGCUGAGAGGCCAUACAUUGAUGGAGUCUCGCUCUGUCGCCCAGGCUGGAGUCCAGUGGCGCGAUCUCGGUUUACUGCAAGCUCCGCCUCCCGAGUUCAUGCCAUUCUCCUGCCUCAGCCUCCUGAGUAGCUGGGACUACAGGCGCCCGCCACCACGCCUGGCUAAUUUUUUUUUUUUUUUUUUUGAAAUGGAGUCUUGCUCUGUUGCCCAGGCUGGAGUGCAGUGGCGCGAUCUCAGCUCACUGCAAACUCCGCCUCCCGAGUUCAUGCCAUUCUCUUGCCUCAGCCUCCCGAGUAGCUGGGACUACAGGAGCCCACCACCAUGCCCGGCUAAUUUUUUGUAUUUUUAGUAGAGACGGGGUUUCACCAUGUUAGCCAGCAUGGUCUCCAUCUCCUGACCUCGUGAUCCACCUGCCUCGGCGUCUUUUUUAUAUUUUUAGUAGAGAUUUCACUGUGUUAACCAGGAUGGCCUCGCUCUCCUGACCUCAUGAUCUGCCCGCUUCAGCCUCCCAAAGUGCUGGGAUUACAGGCGUGAGCCACCGCGCCCGGUUAUUUAUUUAUUUAUUUAUUUAUUUUUUGAGACCGAGUCUUGCUCUGUAGCCCAGGCUGGAGUGCAGUGGCGCCAUCUUGGCCCACUGCAACCUCCACCUCCCACAUUGAAGCAGUUCUCCUGCCUCAGCCUCCCAAGUAACUGGGAUUACAGGAGCACACCACCACAUCUGGCUAAUUUUUUGUAUUUUUAGUAGAGAUGGCGUUUCACCAUGUUCGCUAGGCUAGUCUGAAACUCCUGACCUCAUGAUCCACCCGCCUUGGCCUCCCAAAGUGCUGGGAUUACAGGCAAUUCUGCUGCCUCAGCCUCCCAAGUAGCUGUGAUUACAGGUGUGUGCCACCAUGCCCGGCUAAUUUUUGUAUUUUUAGUAGAGACGAGGUUUCGGCAUGUUGCCCAAGCUGGUCUCAAACUCCUGACCUCAAGUGAUCUACUCGCCUUGGUCUCCUAAAGUGUUAAGAUUACAGGCAUGAGCCAUCGGGACCGGCCCACUGUUUUUUCUCGCUAGAAAAUACAGUCUAAAGCGGCCAGGUGCGGUGGCUCACGCCUGUAAUCCCAGCACUUUGGGAGGCAGAGGUGGGCAGAUCACGAGGUCAGGAGAUCGAGACCAUCCUGGCUAACACGGUGAAACCCCAGCUCUACUAAAAAUACAAAAAAAAAGCCAGACGUGGUGGCAGGCACCUUGUCCCAGCUACUCGGCAGGCUGAGGCAGGAGAAUGGCGUGAACCCAGGAUGCGGAGGUUGCAGUGAGCUGAGAUCACGCCACUGCACUCCAGCCUGGAUGACAGAGCAAUACUCCGUCUCAAAAAAAAAAAAAAAAAAAAAAAGAAAAUAUAGUCUAUAAAUAAUGAAGAAAGUAAAGUGAACCUGGGAGGUGGAGGUUAUAGUGAGCUGAGAUCAUGCCACUGCACUUCAGCCUGGGCAGCAGCAAGACUCCGUCUCAAAAAAAAGAAAAAAAAAAAGAAAUAUGCGAGCUGCUAAGCUAGGCAGUUCUGGCUCAAGAUCUCUCAUGAUACUGCAGACACCACACCAACGAGGACCCCAGUCCUCUGGCACUGGAGGACCCACUUAGAAGGCGGAUGACUCACAUGGCUCUUGGCAGGAGACCUCAGUUCCUCCCCACAUAGGCCUCCCUAUAGGACUGCUUGAGUGUCCCAUUUACCAAAUGAUCUAAAUAUGUUCCGGUUUUGAUUGGCUGCUCUGCAAUGUGGGCCGUUAUCUAGCUGAUUCGGUGGGGCUUGAAGUGUCAGUUCCUGCUGCAGGGAUGUUAUAUGGAACCUUUGGCAGGCCGCUACAGACGAAUCAUAAUAUAAACCUGUGCUAGUUAUUGAUUACGUCCCAGCUCCUGCGUUGCCUGCUCUGUGAAAUGGUUCUGGCCCUUUAGUUUUUCCUUUACCAGUUGGCAUGAUCUUAAGCUUUGUCAGUAGAGGGCGCUGGAGAGACAUUGCAGGAGACUGGAGUUUCCCUUCCUGCUUCUGGUGUGUUCUCUCUAGGCUCCGGCACGACGGGUGGCUUCUGCAGCACACAGGGCUUCGCCAGCACCCAGCUCCUGCAGCAUGGGCAGCUCCUGUGACAGCAGGCGCCCACAGCCUGCAAAGCGUCUCCAGUGCCGCCGCCUCAGUGAACCGCAACCAGCGGCACCUAGCAGCUUUCUCCGCCACCCUCUUCAGGUAGUUCUGUAGCAGCGCGUUUCUCAUGAGACACUUCCCUGUGAGCAGCUUUUUCUACCCUUGAGGAUGGAUUUCCAGCAAAUUCUGCCCAUGUGGUACCACAGCCACUUCUCUGCCAUUCAGUGAAACUGCCGUUGUGCCCUCUUCAAGGUCUGGAUCUAAGCCCAGGGACCAGGAAACCUCUUGCUUGAGUGCUGGAACUCAGGCCAGAAGGCAGGAAGCCCGCCUGACCCCACGUCUCAGGCUGCCAGAGGAGCGUGCGAUGAGGAAGGCUGGACUGUCUUCACAGGACACCAGAGAGAAGCCUCAAGCCACUGCCCCCUGACAAGUCUCAGCUCUCCAGCCUGUCUCCUCACUCCCCUCCCCUCCACAUGGGGGGGUUGGGGUGGGGGCGGGGAAGGUUCGGGGCAGGGGUCAUUUCAGCUACUGGGCACCAGUCUCCUCCUCAUGUUUAUCCUGUUCCCUUUGCUUGAAAGGUUCGUACUCCAGAUCCUUGUAAAACCGCUUCUCACCCUUUGAGUCUCAGCUUAAAUGUCCCCUCCUUGGAGGGGUCUUCCCUGACAAUGAAGCUCCGACCGUCCUCUCCUGUUUUACCCAGUUCAUUUCUUUCUGGCAUUUGUAACUACUUGAAGUUAAAGUGUGUGCCAUGUA
RNA transcript from Pan troglodytes (chimpanzee), 6189 nucleotides. RefSeq lists it as uncharacterized. The transcript has 3 exons. The record is from RefSeq and is a predicted model, not a curated record. Lineage: Eukaryota; Metazoa; Chordata; Mammalia; Primates; Hominidae.